AUCUAACAUGAAUGUUCACAAAUCAAACCACUAAUUAUAUCAAUCAAAUCUAUAUUUAGGAGUUAAUCAUGGGAAAAAGUUCUUCACUGGUUUUUGGCUUCUGCUUUGUUGUGUACAUGGUUCUCCAAUCCGCCUAUGUCAAUGGCAUAGAUUCCUCAGGACUAUGUGAUGCCGACCAGCAGGUACCUAUUGGAAAAUAUUUGUCUUGUAAGUCCUGCGAAUUUGCUUGCAAGAGCGCAUCAUUUACUCUUACUUCAAUAUGCGCAUCUGAUACUACCAACACAACAUUAUACACCUGCAAAUGUUGCGUAUCUGGCAGCAGAAGUGCCGCAGCAGCAGCAACAAGAAGUUCCUUUAUUUUUGUUUCCUUCUCCUUAUUUUUGAGUUUCAUGAUGAACGGGUUGAUUAAUUAGUUUAAUUGGUCAUCCCAGAUCAUCGAUUGUUAUUUGAACCAUGUUGAAUAAAAGGCCACCCGAGUGGCACAGGAGCAACAACAGCAACAACUUCCUUUGCUUUGCUUUCUUUUUCCCUGAUUUUUAGUUUCAUGUUGAACAUUUUGUUCAUCUAGGUAGCCCCUUGAUAGAUCCGUCACUAUCCCAAACAAUAUACUGGCAAUUACAUAAUUUACAUUCCAGUCUAACUGCCAGACCAUUGUAAACAAAGCACCAUAUGAAUAUAUGAAUACUGUACAUUGAUCAUUGAAGGAUAAUGUUAAACAAUAAUAAUAUUGAAAA
Molecule: long non-coding RNA, 734 nt
Organism: Papaver somniferum (opium poppy)
Lineage: Eukaryota; Viridiplantae; Streptophyta; Magnoliopsida; Ranunculales; Papaveraceae
Exons: 2
Source: RefSeq, a predicted model, not a curated record